CCUACGGGAGGCAGCAGUGGGGAAUAUUGCACAAUGGGCGCAAGCCUGAUGCAGCCAUGCCGCGUGUGUGAAGAAGGCCUUCGGGUUGUAAAGCACUUUCAGCGGGGAGGAAGGCGGUGAGGUUAAUAACCUUAUCGAUUGACGUUACCCGCAGAAGAAGCACAGGCUAACUCCGUGCCAGCAGCCGCGGUAAUACGGAGGGUGCAAGCGUUAAUCGGAAUUACUGGGCGUAAAGCGCACGCAGGCGGUCUGUCAAGUCGGAUGUGAAAUCCCCGGGCUCAACCUGGGAACUGCAUUCGAAACUGGCAGGCUAGAGUCUUGUAGAGGGGGGUAGAAUUCCAGGUGUAGCGGUGAAAUGCGUAGAGAUCUGGAGGAAUACCGGUGGCGAAGGCGGCCCCCUGGACAAAGACUGACGCUCAGGUGCGAAAGCGUGGGGAGCAAACAGGAUUAGAUACCCGUGUAGUC
RNAcentral lists this ribosomal RNA (465 nucleotides) under uncultured Klebsiella sp. RNAcentral's name for it is "bacterial SSU rRNA". It matches the Rfam family "Bacterial small subunit ribosomal RNA", at positions 338 to 795 of the family's 1533-position model. Lineage: Bacteria; Pseudomonadati; Pseudomonadota; Gammaproteobacteria; Enterobacterales; Enterobacteriaceae. The record is from RNAcentral.